RNAcentral lists this long non-coding RNA (1513 nucleotides) under Oncorhynchus mykiss (rainbow trout). RNAcentral's name for it is "lncRNA (ENSOMYG00000057589.1)". Lineage: Eukaryota; Metazoa; Chordata; Actinopteri; Salmoniformes; Salmonidae. The record is from RNAcentral.
UAAGGACAACAAAGUCAAGGUAUUGGAGUGGCCAUCACAAAGCCCUGACCUCAAGCCUAUAGAAAAUGUAAAAAGCGUGUGUGCGCAAGGAGGCCUACAAACCUGACUCAGCUACAUCAGCUCUGUCAGGAGGAAUGGGCCAAAAUUCACCCAGCUUAUUGUGGGGAGCUUGUGGAAGGCUACCUGAAACGUUUGACUCAAGUUAAACAAUUUAAAGGCAAUGCUACCGAAUACUAAUUGAGUGUAUGUAAACGUCUGACCCACUGGGAAUGUGAUGAAAGAAAUAAAAGCUGAAAUAAAUUAUUCUCUACUAUUAUUCUGAGAUUUCACAUUCUUAAAAUAAAGUGGUGAUCCUAACUGAUCUAAUAAGGGCUUUUUUACUAGGAUUUAAUGUCAGGAAUUGUGAAAAACAGAGUUUAAAUGUAUUUGGCUAAGGUGUAUGUAAACUUCAUCUAAUGUGUUAUAUUCUCCUACAUUAAUUUCACAUUUUCACAAACUUCAAAGUGUUUCCUUUAAAAUGGUAUCAAUAAUAUGCAUAUCCUUGCUUUAGGUCCUGAGCUACAGGCAGUUAGAUUUGAGUAUGUCAUUUUAGGCAAAAAUUGAAAGAAACUGUACAAUCUUUAAGUUAUCAAUAUUAUUUAAAAAAAUGUAUGAUUUGUAGGACCAACUCAAUUGGCUUCCCACAUACUCUACAUAUCUCACUCUCUCUUCCUUUCUGCCACCCCAGCUGAGCCCAAUCCAGCCUGCUCUCUCCCCAGCCCAGUCUCCCCUCCUCUGCCCUCCCUCCCAGCUCCUCUUGACCUCCACGGCCCUCCAGAAGUCAGUGCUGCCCUCCCCUCUUCUCCAAUCACAGCCCUCUCCAGGAGAGACUGAUCAAUUCGCCCUCCAUUUUGGCUCCCCAGGCCAGCUGGGCCUGCCCGAGUCCUUCGACAAGGAGUCACUUGUCUCCAGAGUGAAGUUGAGCCAGUCCUCGUCCAGGUCAGAGAUGUCAUCGACCCGAGUGGAGGUGGUCAACCCGGCAGCCCUGACAACCGCACUGGAGAAAACCCCAUACUCUGAGCGAAGGCACAAGCUGGAUCAACGCAGCUUUCACCUGUCAGGUAAAAGACCACAGCUGUAACGCUCUGAAAGAAAAUUAUCUUAUUAACACCAGUGUCCACAAAGAGAAAGAUGGGUGGUAAUAAUGUGGAGAAAUUGUUCAUUCAGCUGAUCUUGUAAUCUAGCAUCGUCUGGGCUGGUUUAUUAUAGCCCGAUCAAUUUGGGAUUUUUGGGUCCGAUAAUGAUUUUAGGGAGGCAAAAGUUAACAAUUACCUAUAUAUCUGCCAAUAUAUUGUUCUUUUAGAGUUGGAAUGAAAAACUUUUUUUUUAGGCACAAAUUGUGCUCUAAAUCAGGGAUCAUCAACUAGAUUCAGCCACAGGCCGAUUUUCUCUUGAGCGGAUGGCCUUGAGGCCGGAACAUAAUUACAAAUUUAUACACUGCAAAUUGACCACAAUAAGCCCAAACGGAUAAAAU